CUCUAUGUUACAAAGGGAUCUCACAUGCCCAUUGUAGAGAAGGGAAUCAGAAGACCUGGAUCAGCAGGCAGCUUGGAGACUUUUUUUUUGUUUAUGAGAAAGGUAUGUGGUUUAUCUUCUAGCGUACUACUAGCUGUGUUUUCAGGAUAAUAUUUUUGGUGUCGAAAAAGUGCUUCCUGCCUGGCAUUGCACUUGCACUGUUGCCAUUUGUGUUUUGCUGCAGUUGAAACAUGGUGUGACUUGGUCUAGUUCCCAGCUCCUGGAGACCACAGGAAGCACAGACAGGUACCUGCUUGAUUCUCCACGGCUGCAGACAUUCCCCAGGGUGCAUCAGGUGGACUCUGAUCCUUCUGAGGUCUUGGACUGCACUGAGCAACCUGGGGAUGCCCCGGAGCCUUUAACUCGUUACCACCCCUCACAAGUUCACCUCACCACACGCGACUAUGUGAAGCCCCAAGCUGAGGCUGCCAGCAGCUGUAAGCAAUAUGGUCUGCGUCGUUGCUCAUGGCAGGAACUUUGAGCUGGGACACAGUUUCACUCCGUAGAUGUAUUUCUCCUCUGAGGGAAGCCUAACACCCGAGCUGACCUUGCCCCCUUCUGAAAGGGAGGACCAUAUCUCACAGUGGCAACAGGAGGCUACAGGUCAGUGGGGUGAUGACCGGGCCCUCAGAGACCCUGCUCUCUCUCUUUACAAAACCCCAUAAAUCCUUCCAAAGGGAGUAAUUCCCUCAGGAUCAAGAGAGUCCUCCACAUUCCUAAAAUCAGUGAAGGCAAAAUGUACA
Molecule: long non-coding RNA, 782 nt
Filed under: Felis catus (domestic cat)
Lineage: Eukaryota; Metazoa; Chordata; Mammalia; Carnivora; Felidae
Description: lncRNA (ENSFCAG00000043828.2)
Source: RNAcentral